GCGUCUACCAGCGGGUCGAGAGUACCGGAAACGGACUCUUAAUCCGCAGGUUCUGGGUUCGAAACCCAGGGGGCGCA
Molecule: transfer RNA, 77 nt
Filed under: Actinomycetota bacterium
Lineage: Bacteria; Bacillati; Actinomycetota
Description: tRNA-Lys
Source: RNAcentral